AGUGUUUGAUCCUGGCUCAGGAUGAAUGCUGGCGGCGUGCCUAAUACAUGCAAGUCGAGCGGUAACAGGGCUUCACCGUUUCCUUGACACUCCGGGCGUUUUCGCGGGAGGUUGGUUUUCGAGGGAACAGUGAAGCUGCUGACGAGCGGCGGACGGCUGAGUAACGCGUGGGAACGGACCCCAAAGUGAGGGAUAACGCACCGAAAGGUGUGCUAAUACCGCAUGUGAUCUUCGGAUUAAAGCUUUUGCGCUUUGGGACUGGCCUGCGUACGAUUAGAUAGUUGGUGAGGUAAUGGCUCACCAAGUCGACGAUCGUUAGAUGGUUUGAGAGGAUGAUCAUCCAGACUGGGACUGAGACACGGCCCAGACUCC
This 372-nucleotide ribosomal RNA is filed under the name uncultured bacterium. RNAcentral describes it as "bacterial SSU rRNA". It matches the Rfam family "Bacterial small subunit ribosomal RNA", at positions 8 to 339 of the family's 1533-position model. The record is from RNAcentral.